RNAcentral lists this ribosomal RNA (292 nucleotides) under uncultured bacterium. Its description in RNAcentral is "partial 16S ribosomal RNA". It matches the Rfam family "Bacterial small subunit ribosomal RNA", at positions 505 to 796 of the family's 1533-position model. The record is from RNAcentral.
GUGCCAGCCGCCGCGGUAAUACGGUGGGUGCAAGCGUUGUCCGGAAUCACUGGGCGUAAAGGGUGCGCAGGCGGGCCUGCAAGUCGGAGGUGAAAUCCCAUGGCUCAACCAUGGAAGUGCCUUCGAAACUGUUGCUCUUGAGUCCCGGAGAGGCUGUCGGAAUUCGUGGUGUAGCGGUGAAAUGCGUAGAUAUCACGAGGAACACCAGAGGCGAAAGCGGACAGCUGGACGGGUACUGACGCUCAGGCACGAAAGCGCGGGGAGCAAACAGGAUUAGAAACCCCUGUAGUCC